GGACCCGCACAAGCAGCGGAGCAUGUGGUUUAAUUCGAAGCAACGCGAAGAACCUUACCAAGGCUUGACAUCCUACUAAACCUGUGGAAACACAGGGUGUCUUCGGACGAGUAGAGACAGGUGGUGCAUGGUUGUCGUCAGCUCGUGUCGUGAGAUGUUGGGUUAAGUCCCGCAACGAGCGCAACCCUUAUGACCAGUUACCAGCGGAUAAAGCCGGGGACUCUGGUAAGACUGCCGAGGUCAACUCGGAGGAAGGUGGGGAUGACGUCAAAUCAUCAUGCCCCUUACGUCUUGGGCUACACACGUGCUACAAUGGCUGAAACAAAGGGAAGCAACAUUGUAAAGUGAAGCAAAUCUCAGAAAAACAGUCCCAGUUCGGAUUGUGGGCUGCAACCCGCCCACAUCGAAGUCGGAGUUGCUAGUAAUCGCGGAUCAGCACGCCG
Molecule: ribosomal RNA, 443 nt
Filed under: uncultured Bacillota bacterium
Lineage: Bacteria; Bacillati; Bacillota
Description: bacterial SSU rRNA
Rfam family: Bacterial small subunit ribosomal RNA
Source: RNAcentral